Molecule: ribosomal RNA, 460 nt
Filed under: uncultured bacterium
Lineage: Bacteria
Description: partial 16S ribosomal RNA
Rfam family: Bacterial small subunit ribosomal RNA
Source: RNAcentral
CCUACGGGUGGCAGCAGUGAGGAAUAUUGGUCAAUGGACGAGAGUCUGAACCAGCCAAGUAGCGUGAGGGAUGACUGCCCUAUGGGUUGUAAACUUCUUUUAUAUGGGAAUAAAACGUUCCACGUGUGGGAUUUUGUAUGUACCAUAUGAAUAAGGAUCGGCUAACUCCGUGCCAGCAGCCGCGGUAAUACGGAGGAUCCGAGCGUUAUCCGGAUUUAUUGGGUUUAAAGGGAGCGUAGGUGGAUUGUUAAGUCAGUUGUGAAAGUUUGCGGCUCAACCGUAAAAUUGCAGUUGAAACUGGCAGUCUUGAGUACAGUAGAGGUGGGCGGAAUUCGUGGUGUAGCGGUGAAAUGCUUAGAUAUCACGAAGAACUCCGAUUGCGAAGGCAGUUCACUGGACUGUAACUGACACUGAGGCUCGAAAGUGUGGGUAUCAAACAGGAUUAGAUACCCCUGUAGUC